AAGCGGUUUCAAUGAAGUUUUCGGAUGGAUUUGAAAUUGACUUAGCGGCGGACGGGUGAGUAACGCGUGGGUAACCUGCCUUACACUGGGGGAUAACAGUUAGAAAUGACUGCUAAUACCGCAUAAGCGCACAGGGCCGCAUGGUCUGGUGUGAAAAACUCCGGUGGUGUAAGAUGGACCCGCGUCUGAUUAGGUAGUUGGUGGGGUAACGGCCCACCAAGCCGACGAUCAGUAGCCGACCUGAGAGGGUGACCGGCCACAUUGGGACUGAGACACGGCCCAAACUCCUACGGGAGGCAGCAGUGGGGAAUAUUGGACAAUGGGCGAAAGCCUGAUCCAGCGACGCCGCGUGAGUGAAGAAGUAUUUCGGUAUGUAAAGCUCUAUCAGCAGGGAAGAAAAUGACGGUACCUGACUAAGAAGCCCCGGCUAACUACGUGCCAGCAGCCGCGGUAAUACGUAGGGGGCAAGCGUUAUCCGGAUUUACUGGGUGUAUAGGGAGCGUAGACGGUUAAGCAAGUCUGAAAGUGAAAGCCCGGGGCUCAACCCCGGUACUGCUUUGGAA
This 563-nucleotide ribosomal RNA is filed under the name uncultured Lachnospiraceae bacterium. RNAcentral describes it as "bacterial SSU rRNA". It matches the Rfam family "Bacterial small subunit ribosomal RNA", at positions 64 to 631 of the family's 1533-position model. The record is from RNAcentral. Lineage: Bacteria; Bacillati; Bacillota; Clostridia; Lachnospirales; Lachnospiraceae.